CCAUUCCAGAACUAAUAUUUGCUACAACCAGAGACUGAAAUGGUAUGACUGGAGCUUUAAAUAAUUUGGCUUUGACAGCUCCAUCAUUUUCUGAGAACUUGGGAACAGAAUUUGGGCUCUGCUUCUGCACUAUCCUAGGUUAUAAUGCCAUCCUUGCCUAAUGAGGGAGAUAACCAUGGAACCGCUCCUCUGACUUUGAGUUCAGAACUACCCUAUCAAAGCAUGAUUAAAAGAAAAGUCAGAAAGAAGAAGAAUGGAGUCAUCACUGCAAACGUCGCUGGCACAAAAUAUGAAAUUGUACGUGUAGUAAUACGAGAAAUGGGAUUUGUGAAAACACGUGAUGAAGAUGAAACAGCUAAUCUUAUAUGGAGUGAUUCUGCUGUGCAACAAGAGAAGAUUGCUGAACUGCGGAACUAUCAGAGAAUCAACCAUUUUCCAGGAAUGGGAGAGAUCUGCAGAAAGGAUUUUCUGGCAAGAAACAUGACUAAAAUGAUCAAGAGUCAGCCUCAGGAGUAUAGUUUUAUUCCUCGAACAUGGAUCUUCCCUGCAGAAUACACACAGUUUCAGAACUAUGUAAAAGAACUGAAGAAGAAACGUAGACAGAAAACUUUCAUAGUCAAACCAGCUAACGGUGCAAUGGGACAUGGGAUCUCUUUAAUAAGAAAUGGAGAAAAGUUACAAGCUCAGGAUCACUUGAUUGUUCAGGAAUAUCUUGACAAACCAUUUCUUAUGGAAGGCUACAAGUUUGAUUUACGUGUGUAUAUUCUUGUAACCUCCUGUGAUCCAUUGAAAGUAUUUUUAUAUCAUGAUGGACUGGUGAGAAUGGGCACAGAAAAGUAUCAUCCCCCCAGUGACUCAAAUUUGAGUCAAUUGUAUAUGCAUCUGACUAACUACUCUGUCAACAAACAUAAUGAACACUUUGGACGGGAUGAAACAGAAGACAAAGGAAGCAAACGCUCCAUAAAAUGGUUUACUGAGUUUCUAGAAACAAAUAAUCUUGAUGUCUCCAAAUUCUGGAGUGAUAUUUCAGAGUUAGUAGUGAAGACUCUCAUAGUUGCAGAGCCACAUGUUCUUCAUGCUUAUCGCAUGUGCAGGCCAGGGCAAGCACCAGGAAGUGACAGUGUCUGCUUUGAAGUCCUGGGAUUUGAUAUUCUGCUGGACAGAAAACUAAAACCAUGGCUCCUAGAGAUUAAUCGUGCCCCAAGCUUUGGAACUGAUCAAAAAAUAGACUAUGAUGUAAAAAAAGGUGUUCUGCUAAAUGCAUUAAAGCUUCUCAACAUACGGACAAGUGAUAAAAGGAGAAAUUUAGCUCAACAGAAGGCUGAGGCUCAAAAAAGACUGUAUGGUCAAGGUUCAAUGAAAAAACUGUUGCCCGGUUCCUCAGACUGGGAGAAGCAGCGCCACACACUGGAAAGGAGAAAAGAAGAACUGAAGGAAAGACUUGCACAAGUACGUAAACAGAUUUCCAAAGAGGAGCAUGAAAAUAGACACAUGGGGAACUACAGGCGAAUUUACCCUCCUGAUGAUAAGACAUUACUUGAAAAGUAUGAGAGUUUGUUAGCCACUGCUUUUCAGACGUUUCUUGCUGGAAGAGCAGCUUCACUUCAGCGGGAAAUGAAUAACCCUUUAAAAAGAAUGAAGGAGGAGGACAUUUUGGAUCUUCUGGAGCAGUGUGAAAUAGAUGAUGAAAAACUAAUGGGAAAAUGCACCAGGCAGCGAGGACCUAAGCCCUUGUGUUCAAUGCCAGAAAGUGCACAGCCCUUAAGAAAACUUAAGAACUACAGUAGUGAUAGUAGCUGUGAUAGCGGUAGCAGUGUGUCAGAAUCGGCAGAAGAAACUGAAAAGGAAGAUCACAAUGAAAAAAAAGAGAAAAAAGUUUCAUAUGAUCUUGAAGAAAACAAAUACAAAUCUUUGGAACGAUCGGGUAGAAUGAACUGGAAACCUUCGAUUAAAAAUAUAAAAUCUCCAUCAUAUUCAUCCCCCACAUCAUCCACAGGUCCAAUAAGGCGUUCUGUAAGCUGCCCUCGUUCAAUAUCGACUAUGCAGUCACAAGCAGCUGAGCAACGUCCCUUUUCAGCCAAAGCAUCUCUGCAAAUCCAGCGUGCAUCCUCAGUGAAUAGGUCUCAUUCUUUAAAUCGCAGCCCAUCUUCGGCCAGAGUCUCUCAGACACCCAGCUUGGGAGCUAUGAACUCUUCAGGGAGUGAGUCUUUGCUGCAACAGAAAACAAAAGAGCAAGAAGUUGCUUUGACAAAAGAGACUCUUCUCAUUAUCAAUGACAUGAGAAUGAAGUUCCCAGGUAAAACAGAUGAAGAAUCAGAAUUAAUUAUAGAAGAUAUUAUGGAUAAUUGGAAGUAUCAUAAAACAAAAGUGGCAUCCUAUUGGCUGGUGAAAUUGGAUUCUGUAAAGCAACGAAAAGUUUUGGAUAUAGUCAAGACAAGCGUUCGUGCAGUUCUACAGCGUGUCUGGAAGGCUCCAGACAUUGAAAAUUUACAUCUGUACCGUCUCUUUAACCGCGUAUUUAAUCGCUUGCUUUGGAGCCAUGGUCAAGGUCUAUGGAACUGUUUCUGUAAUUCAGGGAGCUCUUGGGAAACCAUAUUCAGUAAAAGCACAGAGGUGGUGACUCCUGAGCAACUCCAGUGUUGCCAACGAAUAGUACAGCUUUGUAAACACUGCCUGCUGGUGGUUUACAAAUAUUCAUCAGAUUCAAGAGGAUCCCCAACUGGGAUUAGCCCCCACUGGGGUGACACAAGAUCCCUCAAAGUCACUGAUUCCAGAUUUGCAUUCCUAGAGGUAUCCUAACAUGUAUGAUACUUCUGGCUUCACAUUCGCAGUGGGAUGCUAUAGGGGCACAGCUCCAGCCAAGGGUCAGGUAUUUAUUGCCAGGACCUUCACUGUUCAUCAUGAAAUCAUCCUCGUCCAACCUUAGCUGCAGUUCUUCUGGAAUGCCUCGCCCUAACAUUUUGUUCACACACAGAUACAGUCACUUGUGAAGCAAAAGGAAAGUUGCUGUUCUUUGUAAAUAAUGGCACUCCAUUUUUUUUCAAAUAACAAUUUGUGAUGGAGCUAAAUAUAAGCACUGUUAUAUAUUUACCACCAUAUUAUGAUAACAUUUAGCUGAAAACCUACUGUAAAAGCAUAGCUUUUCUGGAAACAUAAUAAACCUUGUUAAGUUGUUUACACACACAUGUGAAUGUGUAGAUCUUGCUAGGUUUAUAAGUAAUUCCUUCCUACUAGAAAUGUUAUUUUUGCUGCAGAAUAUAUAAAAUGGAAUUGAUCUUGAAGAUCCUAUUACAGCAUUACAUUAUUUUGUAAGUACAAUACUUUGACUUGAAUAUUAUUUAUUGUAAAGUAUACUAUUUAUUGUCUCAAAUGUAACUGAUACUUUAACAGGAAGAUGAUUAAAAAACUGUACUAGAACAGUAAAACUGCAACAGUCAUCGAAAAUAAUCUGAUCAUUUCUUGGACAUGUUUAAAAUAAUCCCCAGAACUCUGUAAACCAAACCUAAAGCAGACAUCUUUUUAUUUCUCCUCUGAAAUGACAAGAUCUAUUUAAUGCUGCUAUUUUUCUUAAAGGACAUGGUGUAGUAUCUUUUAGCCAAAGUGAAGGCAUCUAGUACACAAACAGUGAAAAUAUCAGUUUAGGCAUUCAGUUUCUAAUUGGAUUCUUGUAAUAAAACCGAAGCCAAUGUUUGGUACCAGAUUUUCAUUCACAUUACCGAUGUCCUGUGCCUUUAGGUUUCCUUUGGGAGCAAGCAGUCAUCUCCAACUUGCACAAGCAUGCAUAGCGCAUAGUUUUUCUGUUUUACUGCCCAAGCGGUAAAGCAGACAUUUUUAGGAAAUACUGCACCUAUAAUGUAUUACUGCAACCUUAAACUAAUUGGUUUGUGGUAGUUUUUAGCAUACAAUCCAGUACCUACUGUAGAAUGUAUCCUUGCAAUGGACAGUAUUUUCUAGAUUGCUGACACCUUUAAAUGUUGGAAAUCUAAUUCAUUAGAGAGCGUUCAUUCAGAUUCAGCUUCCUGGGCCUGGCUGGAGGGCACAAAAAGAAAAUGAGCCAGAGCAGGAACCUACCGUUAACAGGACUUGUAACCUGGAAACAUCAUUCAGGUUUUGCUACAUCCACCCAUUCAUCCCACUCAGCACUGUGCCAUAUGAGCCUUAUUCAUUAUAGAAAUAAUUAUUAAAAAAAUCAUUUAAGCUAGAUUUAAAAAUGAAUUAAGUUUUUUAACUGAGUAAAGAACAGAGUAGUUAUUAUUUACCAAAGACUUGUUUACUUACCAAUCAUGUAACCCUGAAACGUGUUUGUAAAUUAUCAAUAUAUUUCAGGUAUACUUAAAAAAAAUAAUUUGGGGGCUAGUUAUCCUCAGGAGCAAGUACGUGAGAGGUUUUUGAUAUCCAGAGAUUUAAGACAAAUUUGAGAGACUUAAGAGAUUUGAGACUGAAGUUGUCUGGAAAUGAUUUUUUUAAAUUUUAGUCAUAGCAUAUAUAAAACUGGGAAUUUGGGUGAGAUUUUUGAUGCCUGUGCUGUAGUGCCUCACCUCUAGAACUGCAGGAUAUGUGAUAAUGAGACUAUUUUUAAACAAUUAAAAACACCUCUUGAGAUUAGCCAGAGAUAAGCAGUCUUCUAGUCUGGAAAAGUCUUUUUCAUUUUUGUGGUAAUACUAGUUUAGUAAUAUAGUAUGUUCACGUUAAUUGUGUAUCUCUUUUGGUCCAUACAGUGACUACUGAUAAAGCAUACUAUCGUUAUCUGUAAGGCUUAAUAAAAUCUGUAAAUUCUCUCUUCUUGG
RNA transcript from Pygoscelis adeliae (Adelie penguin), 4787 nucleotides. It is a transcript of the gene named tubulin tyrosine ligase-like family, member 7, with no coding region annotated. The transcript has 21 exons. The record is from RefSeq and is a predicted model, not a curated record. NCBI's taxonomy places the organism in Eukaryota, Metazoa, Chordata, Aves, Sphenisciformes, Spheniscidae.